This 5168-nucleotide long non-coding RNA is filed under the name Homo sapiens (human). RNAcentral's name for it is "non-protein coding lnc-TTC23-3:2". The record is from RNAcentral. Lineage: Eukaryota; Metazoa; Chordata; Mammalia; Primates; Hominidae.
AUUGUGCCUGCCUCACCUCCCCACUCUCCCCGGCUAAUUACCAGAAACAUUUAUCGAGUGCCUAUGGCAUGUCAGGCACAGUUCAAGUUCUGAGGAUACAGAGUAAACAACAGGCAACAUCACGCCUCCUCGAGCUUCUGUUCUACUGGGAGUCAGGGUAGGAAGAGACGACAACAAGGUAAAUAAGUCAAAUCCGGACUGUGUUACUGACAAUGCAAGCUAGGAGAAAAAAGGAAGCAGGAGCAGAGAGGAGCCUGGGUGAUGAUGGAGAUGGGGAGUUUACUUAAAUAGGUGGCCAUGAGGCUAUCCAGCCUGUCCCAGGCGGACUUUUAGAAGACGGAUUGUUUAUAAGAGCCCAAAAGUAUAAGUUCUUAAAAAAAAUUAAUUUCUGAAUGUGUGAUGAGAACACAAAUUCCUCCACGACAGCCCUGUUUUUCCUGUGCUGCGUAGCUGAGCUCUGGGUCACGGCUGCCGAGUGCAGGCAACACUCGGGCAGUCCCAGGGCUGACCGACUGCGCAUCUGGACACUGGCAAUCACAGGGAAGGAGGCGAGAGCUCUGCCGGGUGCUUUGAGGCUGUCGCGUCAUGUCUUCCUCCCCACAGCGUUCUGCGGGGCCUGUCCCCUUGGUGUUGUGGCACCUCCUGGUCCUCGGCUCUGCUCUUGGGGAAGAAAGAGGACACUGUCACAGGUUCCUGUCCCCUCCAGCCAACAGGAGCAGCCACACGUGGCAUCUGCCCUCGAAGCUCUGUGGCAUCCCUGCCGUAGGAGAAGUUACCAAGAAACCCCCAGAGCCCACAGGCUGGAGCCCCCCCAGGUUCUGCUCAGCGGGGAGAGGCAGAUUGAGUCCAAAUUUUCCAUUUUAACUGGAAUCCUAGGGGUUAAACCUGGCUGUGACUUGGCAAUGGCCCCUUGUCCGUGCUGUUCCACAGGGGGUGUCCCCCUUCCCCAGGCCCUGCCCCAAUGUGGCUCCAGGGCCUCUGCUCCCAGCAGGUCUCACCUGGGACAGAGGUGGGGGUGGGGCAAGAGGAACCAAGCCAGGAAGCUGCAGAAAUAGCUCUGGGGGUGGGAGGGCGUGGUGCUGCCGAAGGCCGAACACCCACGCAGGGUGUUGUCUCUCCACCCUCCCAGGCCGAGGGGAUUUCUCAAACGCAGGCCUCCUUCCCAGGAGGUAGGCCUGUGUCCAGUGAGGGCCCUGCCCAUCCAGGCCUCUGUUUCCUGUCACUGUUCUCAAAAGCUGGGCCCAGCUGUGGCGGGGACAGCUAUGUCCGGCUGCCCGUGGUCCCUUGAGAACCGGCCAGGCUGCCCCUGUGCCUGGCACAUGCUCACCUGGACCCUCCAGCCAGCAUCUGGGCUCCAUCUGACCCCACCCCACAGGGCUCAAGCCAGCUCCAAGCAUGAGUGUGGCCGAGGCCAGGUCUGUCUUCAGGGUCCCUUCCUCAUCUCCACGGCCUUUUCCUGUCCCAGCUCACCCACAGGGGGCCAUUUCUGCCCCACACAGGACUCCCUGUGAACCAAGGCUGCACAUGCUUCUGGGUGCCCCUCUCUGGGCAGCUGGAGGGCAGAAGGAGCACCUGGCAGGUGGGUCCCAGGCCCGGCAGCAGGAGCUGCCUGCCAGACAGGACCAGAGGGGAUGGCAGUCCGCUCGGGUGAGGGGUCCACAGGCAGAGGGCGUGGGGGGCUAGGAGGUCUGGGGGCCUCUGGGGAAAGGGGGCCCCAGAAACCAAUGGGAAUUAUGGGAUCUCCUCAAAGAACAUGCUGGAGCAAGGCUCAGCUGCCCACUGCUGCCCCAAAAAGGCUCAGCUGCCCACUGCUGCCCCAACGGGAGUCACUGCUCACACAGAGACCGCUCCUUCCCCAGCCACUCCAGCCAGUGACUGGAUACGGUGCAGGCACUAGUCCCUAGAACCAGGCCAUUCCUGACCCACCAACUGCCCUGUAUGCAGGCCUCUCUCUGGGGCUUCUCAUCAGCCUAGCAGCACGGCUUUCUCAGGGCUUCCCUGGGUACGCACGUCCUCCUACCCAAUCCCCCUUCCCUCUCUCCCUGUCCCAGGUUCAGACCUGCAUCCUGGCUCGAGGCUGUCUCCCCAUCUGCCACAGGUGCUUCCCCCAACGGAUCUCUUGCCCCUCUCCUCCUGGCUUGGGGUCUGCUCACUGGAGGACCUGGAUGGACAUGACAGGGCUCAGACAGGACUUGGGAGGAGCUGUGAGCUCGCCAUCAGGGCCAGCCUUGAAGGACGGGUGUGGGCGUGUCCCCCAUCAGGAUCCCGCUGUGGGUCUCCUUCCUGCUGUGGGGGCUGAUGAAAGAUGCAGGCCAGACACCUGCACAUCUUUACCCUGUGCUCAGCAGCACCCCCUGACAGGGCACCCUCCCCACUACAUCCCCAUUCCAUUCCAAAGGAAGAGACCCUGAGGGUCUGGAAUGAAGAACCCCUUACCCCAGGUCAAACUGAUGUUGCUGGAAUCUUUGGUUGGGUCUCGACAUUACCCCAUAUGGGCAACAGAGAAGGACUGCCGAGAGCUGGGCAAGGCCCCAUGCCUGCUCCUCCUGCUUGUGCUCUCUAGAUCAGAGACCCUCCCAACCUCUCCCGUAGGGGCCUGACUCCUCCCUGGUAUGUCACCUUUGCUUGAUCUAGGCCUCUGGAGGGGCGGCAGCCUGUCUCCCCGCACCAGCUGGGGUUCUGGCCCUGGUGGUUGCUCACCACACCUCCGGGGGCUGCCACGCGGGGUCAUGUUGGUACCAAGGUUCUCUGUGGGGUGCAGGGAUGACCACUGGAGAAAAGGCCAGCCCUGCCUUCCGCUGCUGCCUCAGGCUGGUCCCCGUGCCUCGCUCAGGCGGGCCAGUGACCCUCCUCACCAGCCAUGGCUUCUCUUGUGACAGGCCCAACGGCAGGCCAGGUCCUGAACCCCGCAGGGAGGCCGGCCUAUCAGGUCUUCACAUGGCUGGGGGCACAGCCAGCCACCAGCAUCCUUGUGCUGUCCCCAUGGGGAAGAGAAGGGAACGAUGUGUUCAUAGACGCCAGGGCAAGUGGGCACGGGCAGCGCACGGAGGAAAAAGUGACUCCAAUCAGAAGGGGAGUGGGUCUUGGCAAUACACGUCUGGGUGGUCAGUCCCCAGAGGUGGGCACUGGGCUGAGCUCUCUCUCAUCCGACGCCACCCCUGGGUGACCUCCGUUACAUUUCCUAACCUCUUUGUGUGCCAAUCGCCUCGUCUGGAAAAAUGGGAAUGGAGGAGAGUUGUACCUACCCAGGGUGGUUCUGUGGGCAUUUAAAGAGCAACUUCAUGUGAGACGUGGAGUCCAUGUGUGGCCCAUGGUGGGCUCCAGGAAAUGUUGGUGAUGACAGGGAUGAGGGAGCAACUGAGAGCCGGCAGUGAGGUGACACACCCAAGGUCACGCCACCAGCAGAGGUAGCUGGUCACGCUGCUGAGAGCCGGCAGGAAAUAGAUGCGGACAAAGCAGGGUCGGUUUUCAGCUUCUCUCCACGGAAAGGCCGGCUGAAGUUUCCCUCACCACGCAGAAAUCGAUAAGCAGGAGGUUUUUAAAAACCACCUCCCCAUUGAACCUGCCACUGCCGGAGCUGAAGGCUGUGCGUUUUGUGGUCCGCUCUGCCCCAGGGCCACUUAGGGUGCGUCCACGCUGGGUGUGCCAGGCAUGCACGUGGGCUGCAGACGCCCAGGAGGCAGAGCCGAGCCUGCCAAGGUUAUGCGUGCACCUCUCAGCUCCCUGCUUAACACUGCGUUCCCGGGAGAGAGAUUUCUCCCUGGCUGCUUCACAUCCAGAGGAGAACAUCAGCUCUCAGCAGAACAUAAGGCAAGUGUGAAAACAACUUUUUAUCUUUUAAAAUUUUUGUUUAUAUUUAUGUAUUUAUUUUUUGAAAUGGAGUUUCGCUCCUGCUGCCCAGGCGGGAGUGCAAUGGCGCCAUCUCAGCUCACCACAACCUCUGCCUCUCAGGUUCAAGCAAUUCUCCUGCCUCAGCCUCCCGAGUAGCUGGGAUUACAGGCAUGCACCACCACACCCGGCUACUUUUGUAGCUUUAGUAGAGACAGGGUUUCUCCAUGUUGAGGCUGGUCUCGAACUCCUGGCCUCAGGUGAUCCGCCCGCCUCAGCCUCCCAAAGUGCUGGGAUUACAGGUGUGAGCCACUGCACCCGGUGAAAACAGCUUUUUAUGCCAACUGGGGCUCACUUCCAGGGGAGGCCUUUCCUGGAGGCCCCCAUUCACUGCAAUUCCUCAGCCUGGCUUGGAGUCAUACCAUCCCUCCUAUCAAGAAACAUUGCAUCUGCAGCGAUCCCCCAGAGUGAGUGGCUGGGGGGCUGCGGGAGGAGCAGGGGAGGUGCUGGAACACGUCAGGUCAUCAGCAGUGUUGCUGAAAAGCUUGGCCAGGAAACCCAGAUCAGCCACCAAGAACCUGAGGGCCAGCACAUGGGAAGAAGAAAAAUAAGGUGGUUUUUCUGGGAUUUUUGGGAAUAUUUGGGCCUCGACCCUGCCAGGAUAGGUUAGGUGGUGCAAUGGUCACAAGCCCCAAGUCUUUGUGGCUGAUAGCAACAGAAGCUUCUUUCUUGCCCACAGUAAGCAUCCGUCGUGGUUGGCAGGAGACUGAUCGUGGUCAUCUAUCCAGGACUGGGUUGACAGGAAGCCACCAUCUUAGACUGUCAGCUUCCAUUUCAGAGGGAAGGAGCCCUGUGGACGUUCUCACACCAGCAUUCAGAAGCUCUUGCUGGGAAGUGUCACAAGUCACCUGUGCUCCCUGGCUAGGAGUAGUCCGUUGGCCACCCAAACACCUGGGGGCUGGCCAGGAAGGCAGUCACACAGGGGCCCACCAUGGGUCUGCCCAGUUCUCAGGCACCAGACCACACCCAAGCAGGACCCCUCCUCCCCUGCUUCCCCCUCCUGUCCCCACCAAAGCCACAUGGCAGGCAGAUCACAUGUCACAGAGCUCAGGGCCAGGCCUGCCCAGAUCCUGAGGCUGGGCCACCCCUGAGAGCUUCCUAUGUGAGAUGUCCACUUUUUUACAUUUAAAUUUUACUUUUAAAAUUCUAAAUUGAUAAAUUACAGUUGUAUGUAUUUAUGGGUACAAAGUGAUGUGAUGACUGAUGAAUACAACGUAGAAAAUUAAAUCAAGUAAUUAACAUAUCCAUCCCCUCACAUACUCAUCACUUGUUGUGGUAAG